UAAUACAGAGACUGCGAGCGUUAUUCGGAUUCACUGGGCGUAAAGGGUGCGCAGGCGGCCAAGUGUGUGAGGCGUGAAAGCCCGGGGCUUAACCCCGGAAUUGCACCUCAAACUACAUGGCUAGAGCAUUGGAGAGGGUAGCAGAGUUCAUGGUGUAGCAGUGAAAUGCGUAGAUAUCAUGAGGAAUACCAGAGGCGAAGGCGGCUACCUGGACAAUUGCUGACGCUCAGGCACAAAAGCGUGGGGAGCAAAAGGG
RNAcentral lists this ribosomal RNA (256 nucleotides) under uncultured prokaryote. Its description in RNAcentral is "partial 16S ribosomal RNA". It matches the Rfam family "Bacterial small subunit ribosomal RNA", at positions 521 to 776 of the family's 1533-position model. The record is from RNAcentral.